GUAGGGAAUAUUGGACAAUGGGGGGAACCCUGAUCCAGCCAUGCCGCGUGGAGGAAGACUGCCCUCUGGGUUAUAAACUCCUUUUAUAUGGGAAGAACCGUCCUCAUUAAUGAGUGACCUGACGGUACCAUAGGAAUAAGCACCGGCUAACUCCGUGCCAGCAGCCGCGGUAAUACGGAGGGUGCAAGCGUUAUCCGGAUUCACUGGGUUUAAAGGGUGCGUAGGCGGAUAAAUAAGUCAGUGGUGAAAUCAACGGGCUCAACCUGUUAACUGCCAUGGAUACUGUGUAUCUUGAAUAUGAGAGAGGUAGGCGGAAUGUUGCAUGUAGCGGUGAAAUGCUUAGAUAUGCUACGGAACACCGAUUGCGAAGGCAGCUUACUAUUUCGUAAUUGACGCUGAGGCACGAAAGCGUGGGUAGCGAACAGGAUUAGAAACCCCAGUAGUCC
RNAcentral lists this ribosomal RNA (446 nucleotides) under uncultured bacterium. RNAcentral's name for it is "partial 16S ribosomal RNA". It matches the Rfam family "Bacterial small subunit ribosomal RNA", at positions 354 to 796 of the family's 1533-position model. The record is from RNAcentral.